CUUUGAAUUAAUAAUCACGUUAUCGUUGAUCACAGUUGGAUUCUAAUUUGUGAUGUGUCGUGGUGAGCUGUUUGGUAGCAACUAGCAUUGUUCGUAUAGUACAAAGUCAAAAAUACUGCACUGAAAUGUCAGAUUGUGUCGUUGAAAAAAACAAAAGCUUCGCUGCCUUCUUUGUUUUCUUCAAGAUCUCAAUUGACUGCAAAAUGGCUCAUAUCAUUUCAUUUAUAAGAAGAACAUUGAUACAAUCAGGUGGAUAAUCAAAAAGUUGUAAGGUGUGUGAUAAUAUACAUGUGUAACUUGUUAAUGGAUAGAGCUUUCAACGAAAGUGGAAGGGGAAAUACAAGAAUCUUUCCCUAAGGUGUACCACCUCUAUACAAAAAGAAAUUAUAUUUUGGCCCUAAGUUGUCUUGCUUGUAGAGACAGGUUCCUUGGAGGGAUUGUUGGUGAAAGUGAUGGAGUUCGUGCACAAUAUUCAUUGCUUAAAAUAAAUAUAGCAACUACUUUCAAGAAGAAAAUUCGUUGAAUGCAUUCAAUCAUGAAUAUACUCAACAGUUGUUUAAAAUCACUUUCUCUUUGCCCAUAUUAGAAUGGGAGUUUCGAAACCCUAAAUGAGAAAAUGGGGAAAAGAAGCACCCUUUUGUAGUUAAUGGUGAUCAUUUUAAAGGAAGGGUCGAGGCUAGCAGUGUGGGGGAGUCCUUGCUCUAGCAGUAAUGUGGCAAACAAAGUUGUAGUCGAUGUGAAUGCAGGAGAUCUUGAAUUCAGUGUUGUCUUAGAUACAUGCAUAAGAUGAUCAACGAUUUGAGGUCCUCAUUUUGAGGGGCCAUAACUUUUAAAAAAUCUAUAAAAAAUUAUUAACUUCAUUUUGGUGAA
Glycine soja is the source of this 870-nucleotide long non-coding RNA. RefSeq lists it as uncharacterized. Lineage: Eukaryota; Viridiplantae; Streptophyta; Magnoliopsida; Fabales; Fabaceae. The record is from RefSeq and is a predicted model, not a curated record. The transcript has 2 exons.